This 104-nucleotide non-coding RNA is filed under the name Jeotgalicoccus saudimassiliensis. RNAcentral describes it as "SAM riboswitch aptamer (S box leader)". It matches the Rfam family "SAM riboswitch aptamer (S box leader)". From Rfam's summary of the family: The SAM riboswitch is found upstream of a number of genes which code for proteins involved in methionine or cysteine biosynthesis in Gram-positive bacteria. The SAM riboswitch acts at the level of transcription termination control. Lineage: Bacteria; Bacillati; Bacillota; Bacilli; Caryophanales; Staphylococcaceae. The record is from Rfam by way of RNAcentral. RNAcentral also lists the same sequence under 1 other name.
CUCUUAUUAAGAGCGAGUGGAGGGAUUUGGCCCUGUGAAACUCCGGCAACAGCUGUAAAGCGAUGUGCUAAUUCCAACAGUUUAUUUAAACUGGAUGAUAAGAA